Cylas formicarius (sweet potato weevil) is the source of this 584-nucleotide long non-coding RNA. RefSeq lists it as uncharacterized. NCBI's taxonomy places the organism in Eukaryota, Metazoa, Arthropoda, Insecta, Coleoptera, Brentidae. The transcript is spliced from 4 exons. The record is from RefSeq and is a predicted model, not a curated record.
CAGAUGGACAACAAAUCACCACCGACAACUUGGUUAUGAAGAAUACCAUUGACCAAUUAUCAGAAGAAUCUCUCAAAUCAUUUAAUAAAUACAUCAUUUAGAUGAACAAAUUUCCAUUCAACGAGACUUAAAAACUUACGCAAAAAUAAAACAUAGAUGAUGGAAGAGUGAAAAUACUUGAUACAAUUCAACAACGAAAUGUUUCAUCGUGAGGAAUCAUUUCAAUUCAAAUUAUCGUCGUUGAUUGUGUGAAGAACGCGUCGCGAGAAUUUUUUUGAAGAAAACAUUUUACAAAGAGCAGAUAAAAAACAAGUCAUUCUUUUUAUGAAGAAUGCCUUCAACCAGUCAUCCAAAAUGAUACCGCUGAUAAUUGCAUCACAUGCAAAAAAAUUAUGACUACAAGGACUGAUAUCAUCUAGCCGAGAAGAGGUUUUCCAAGAAAUACAAUAUUUAGAUUAGAUUCAAAUCUACCAAAUGGAAAACAAAUCAUCAUCGACAACUGGAUUAUAAAGAAUACCACCGAUCAGUUAUCUGAAAUGAAAUCAUUGACAAUUUCAUUCAAAAGAAUAUCAUUGAAACUUUAC